GGCCAGUGAUGUCUCAAGUUCGACUUUGGAUCUUAAUUUGGGACCAUAUCUGUGCCAG
RNAcentral lists this microRNA precursor (58 nucleotides) under Strongyloides ratti. Its description in RNAcentral is "microRNA str-mir-7880p precursor". Lineage: Eukaryota; Metazoa; Nematoda; Chromadorea; Rhabditida; Strongyloididae. The record is from miRBase by way of RNAcentral.